UCAGAUGGCUGGAUGGCCGCUGCCAUGGAACGUCGUUUCCACGGGAGAGGAAAGUCCGGGCUCCACGGGGAUACGGUGCCGGGUAACGCCCGGCGAGGGUGACCUCAGGGAAAGUGCCGCAGAAAGCAAACCGCCGACGCGCCGUUGUGCGCGGGUAAGGGUGAAAGGGUGCGGUAAGAGCGCACCGCGCUGCCGGUAACGGGAGCGGCAGGGUAAACCCCACCGGGAGCAAGACCAAAUAGGGGCGGCAGACCGGUUUUCCGGCAGGUUUCAUCCCCGGACCCGCUGCCCGGGUAGGUCGCGCGAGGUGCCCGGCGACGGGCAUCCUAGAUGAAUGGCCAUCCCCCGCUGACUUCAGCGGGGUCAGAACCCGGCUUACAGGCCAUCUGACCAA
Molecule: RNase P RNA, 394 nt
Filed under: Rhodospirillaceae bacterium
Lineage: Bacteria; Pseudomonadati; Pseudomonadota; Alphaproteobacteria; Rhodospirillales; Rhodospirillaceae
Description: RNase P RNA component class A
Rfam family: Bacterial RNase P class A
About the family: Ribonuclease P (RNase P) is a ubiquitous endoribonuclease, found in archaea, bacteria and eukarya as well as chloroplasts and mitochondria. Its best characterised activity is the generation of mature 5'-ends of tRNAs by cleaving the 5'-leader elements of precursor-tRNAs.
Source: RNAcentral